This 272-nucleotide long non-coding RNA is filed under the name Mytilus galloprovincialis (Mediterranean mussel). The record is from RNAcentral. Lineage: Eukaryota; Metazoa; Mollusca; Bivalvia; Mytilida; Mytilidae.
AACGACAACCACUGAAUCACAGGCUCCUGACCUGAAUGUUCUUAAUAUACUAAAUGUAUGUUCAUAUUGAAAUUAAUAGAAAACAAAAAAAUGGGAAUUUGGGAAAUACAGGAGGGAGAAAAAAAAAUUUCCUGUCCCCAAGUACUUAUGACUUUUGAUACUUUUCCUGAAAUUCUCCAGUCAUUAAAUCUUUUGCAAAAUUCUUCCUACAACACUUUACAUACUUUCAACACGCUCUGAUUGCCCGCGAUUUCGCGGGUGUGUUCUAGUUA